CUGUCACUUAUAGAUGGAUCCGCGCCGCAUUAGCUAGUUGGUAAGGUAACGGCUUACCAAGGCAACGAUGCGUAGCCGACCUGAGAGGGUGAUCGGCCACACUGGAACUGAGACACGGUCCAGACUCCUACGGGAGGCAGCAGUAGGGAAUCUUCCGCAAUGGGCGAAAGCCUGACGGAGCAACGCCGCGUGAGUGAUGAAGGUCUUCGGAUCGUAAAACUCUGUUAUUAGGGAAGAACAAAUG
This 244-nucleotide ribosomal RNA is filed under the name Mycobacterium tuberculosis. RNAcentral describes it as "partial 16S ribosomal RNA". It matches the Rfam family "Bacterial small subunit ribosomal RNA", at positions 212 to 455 of the family's 1533-position model. The record is from RNAcentral. Lineage: Bacteria; Bacillati; Actinomycetota; Actinomycetes; Mycobacteriales; Mycobacteriaceae.